CGCACGGGUGAGUAAUGCAUAGGUAACGUGCCCCUUAGUCUGGGAUAGCCACUGGAAACGGUGAAUAAUACCGGAUACUCCUUCUAGCUUAAUGUUAGUCGGGAAAGUUUUUUCGCUAAGGGAUCGGCCUAUGUUGUAUCAGGUAGUUGGUGAGGUAAUGGCUCACCAAGCCUAUGACACAUAGCGGGUCUGAGAGGAUGAUCCGCCACACUGGUACUGAGACACGGACCAG
RNAcentral lists this ribosomal RNA (232 nucleotides) under uncultured bacterium. RNAcentral's name for it is "partial 16S ribosomal RNA". It matches the Rfam family "Bacterial small subunit ribosomal RNA", at positions 99 to 334 of the family's 1533-position model. The record is from RNAcentral.